This 1208-nucleotide long non-coding RNA is filed under the name Sinocyclocheilus grahami. Its description in RNAcentral is "lncRNA (ENSSGRG00000029105.1)". Lineage: Eukaryota; Metazoa; Chordata; Actinopteri; Cypriniformes; Cyprinidae. The record is from RNAcentral.
AGAGAGAGAGAGAGAGAGAGAGAAAGUUUGUGCACAAAACAGCACAGAAAAAUAUAUGACAGCAACUGGCCAUCCAAAAGUAUGCCUACUUAUAGACAAUUUUCUAGGAAGAAUUUAUCCUCACAAUCGAGAUGGUGUCAAUCUGGCAGUGGAGAACAUCAAUUAUAUAUUUAAAUAUUUGGCCAAUUUAUCUAACCUCACAUCCUUUAAGAAAACCCAUAAAACAACACAAGAAAAUGAGAAAUGGUUUGAUUUAGGCUGUAAAACCAUGAGGAAAAAAUUAAGACAAUUAUCAAAUCAAAAACACAGACAACCAAACAAUGAAGAUUUACGCCAUCAAUAUUGUGAAGAACUUAAACAGUAUAAAAGUACACUCAGAAAAAAGAAAGAACAGUACAUCCAAAAUCAACUAAAAACUAUUGAAGAAUCCGUAAAUUCUAACAAUUUCUGGGACAACUGGAAUUACUUGCAUAAAAAACAUCAUGAACAAGCAGCCAUACUAAACGGAGACACCUGGAAAAAUCACUUUGAACAACUCUAUAGUGAAAUUACAAUGAACCCAGAACAAACCCAAACAUAUGAAAAAGUGAUUCAUAUGGAACAUACAAUUGGUAAAUAUCAAAACCCAUUAGACUACCCCAUUACAGAAAAUGAACUGAUUGAUAAAAUCCAGGUCCUAAAAAACAAAAAAGCAAGUGGAGCAGAUGGCAUCCUCAAUGAAAUGCUCAAGAACACAGAGCACACAUUAAGAUUGGCCCUACUAAAACUGUUCAACUUGGUUCUGAGUGUUGGUCAUUUCCCUGAAACCUGGAAUCAAGGACUCAUAACGCCCAUAUUCAAGAGUGGAGACAAAUCAGACCCCAACAACUACAGAGGCAUCUGUGUAAGCAGUAAUCUGGGGAAGCUGUUCUGCAAUAUCAUCAACACAAGACUUGUACACUUCCUCACAGAGCACAGUGUCCUCAGCAAAAGUCAGAUUGGAUUCUUACCAAAUUACAGAACAACAGACCACAUCUUCACCCUACACACCCUGAUCGACAAAUACAUUAACCAAAACAAAACCAAAAUUUUUGCUUGCUUUGUAGAUUUCCAAAAGGCCUUUGAUUCAAUUUGGCAUGAAGGUCUGUUGUCAAAACUUCUAGAAUCGGGUAUUGGGGGUAAAACAUACAAUAUCAUAAAAACAAUGUAUUCAAACAAUCAAUGCGCAA